AGAGCGAACGCUGGCGGCAGGCCUAAUACAUGCAAGUCGAACGGACCCUUCGGGGUUAGUGGCGGACGGGUGAGUAACACGUGGGAACGUGCCCUUUGGUUCGGAACAACUCAGGGAAACUUGAGCUAAUACCGAAUGUGCCCCCAUCCUUAAACAAGAUGGGCGGGAAAGAUUUAUCGCCAUUGGAGCGGCCCGCGUCUGAUUAGCUAGUUGGUGAGGUAAAGGCUCACCAAGGCGACGAUCAGUAGCUGGUCUGAGAGGAUGAUCAGCCACACUGGGACUGAGACACGGCCCAGACUCCUACGGGAGGCAGCAGUAGGGAAUCUUGCGCAAUGGGCGAAAGCCUGACGCAGCCAUGCCGCGUGAAUGAUGAAGGUCUUAGGAUUGUAAAAUUCUUUCAGCGGGGACGAUAAUGACGGUACCCGCAGAAGAAGCCCCGGCUAACUUCGUGCCAGCAGCCGC
This 462-nucleotide ribosomal RNA is filed under the name uncultured bacterium. RNAcentral describes it as "SSU rRNA". It matches the Rfam family "Bacterial small subunit ribosomal RNA", at positions 26 to 518 of the family's 1533-position model. The record is from RNAcentral.